Long non-coding RNA from Lycium barbarum (goji berry), 247 nucleotides. RefSeq lists it as uncharacterized. Lineage: Eukaryota; Viridiplantae; Streptophyta; Magnoliopsida; Solanales; Solanaceae. The transcript has 3 exons. The record is from RefSeq and is a predicted model, not a curated record.
AAAAAUUUCUUUCAUCUUGAAUUCUUGCUAAGUGCAAGACUCUCUACAACUUGGUAUAAUUAUUUUGGCAAGAAAGACACUUUGGUGGCAAGUGAAGAAUUUGAAGAAAAGAUUUUGUGGAGCCAAGAGCUUGAUUUCGGAUUUGCGUAGAGAGCGGGCAAGGUACAGACACAGGUGAUCCACCACUGUAGGCUCCACUUCCUGCUAUUUUCGGAGUACUCCCUUUUGAUCCGGAGUCUACUUUUGG